GGAGGCUGCAUAUUUUUAAAAUACCCCCAAAAGUACAAAGACGAAUGUUACAGCCCCUGUGUUCUCAUUAUCCAGGCUUAAUAAAUGUUAGCCAUUUUCCACUUUUGUUUCAUACAUAAGUUUUCUACAAAACGAGGACAACACCUUAGAUAAAGCUGAAGUUCAUGUUUCAUUCUGCAUCCCUUCCCCCAAGGGCUUCUUUUGCUCAAUAUGGGACUCAUGAGAGUCAUCGGUGUUGUGUGAGGCAGCUGUUUGUUGAUUUUCUGGACCAAAUAAUGUUCCACUGUGUGACUGGACGUACUGGGUCUAUCCGUUCUACCACUGAUGAGCAUAUUUAGAUCUACAAUCCACCUGGAAUUGAUUUUUGUAUAUGGAGUGAGGUCCCACACUUACGGGAAAAGCAUCACCCGAAAGUGAGAACGCCUAGAGGCAGGAAUCAUGGAGGCUUCCUUAACCGUCUGUCUGCAACAGCAGAGAUGGGGUCUUGCUAUGUUUCCCAGGCUGGCCUCAAACUUUGGCCUCUUGCCUUGGCCUCCUGAAGUGCUAGGAUUACAGGUGCUAGAGAAGACACUGCAGAGUAGAGAACAAAGGAAUCUUAGUAAUUGUUCAAUCCAAUCUCCAUACGUUAAAGAUGAAGAAACUGGUAUUGAGAAAAACACACAGCUUAUCCGAGGUUUCACUGCUGGUUGGUAGCUGAGAUGAAUUUAGAACCCACAUCUGAUGACUACACCAUAUUGCUCCCAGUUUCCCUGUCUGUUCCACAUGUAAAAGUCUGACUCUUCACUUCUCCUUUGAGUAUAUAGGCUUUUAACAUUUUUGUAUGUCAAGAUGGACUUCUCCUCAUACCCAGCCCCUGCCUUUUCUCCUCCCUUCAUACCUUGCAGGAUCUUUAAGAGAAUUUAAAAGGAGUUUUUUGUUUUGUUUUGAUGUAUCUAAUAAAAGUCAAGGGAGGGAGAGGGCCAGUAUAAGCAAGAGAACGGUUUACCUAUUUUGUAGAUGCUGUAGUCUGAGGAAUCAGAAACACACAAAGGUUUGAAGAACUGGUACAUGCUCCCAGGUGGGAAGCCAGGACUCUUGGUAGGAUCUUGAGGACAAGGCAAAGGACAAUAAGAGAGUGAGGGGAUCCUAGAGGUGGAAUCAAGGAAGAGAAACUAGAGAGAGAAAAAGGAACUGGCUAUCCAUCCAAGAUGGAUCCUGUGUGGACUGAUGGGUGGCUUGGCAUCAUCCUUUAGUAGACUUCAUGUGGUUGAAUAAUUGGCCAAUGGAAGGAAUUUCUUUUUUGGUAACAGACUGUGUGUGUACAGUUAUGGGUCU
Molecule: long non-coding RNA, 1314 nt
Organism: Gorilla gorilla gorilla (western lowland gorilla)
Lineage: Eukaryota; Metazoa; Chordata; Mammalia; Primates; Hominidae
Exons: 5
Source: RefSeq, a predicted model, not a curated record